GACGGUACGUGCAGAAGAAGCGCCGGCUAACUACGUGCCAGCAGCCGCGGUAAUACGUAGGGCGCAAGCGUUGUCCGGAAUUAUUGGGCGUAAAGAGCUCGUAGGCGGUUUGUCGCGUCUGCUGUGAAAGCCCGGGGCUUAACCCCGGGUGUGCAGUGGGUACGGGCAGACUUGAGUGCAGUAGGGGAGACUGGAAUUCCUGGUGUAGCGGUGAAAUGCGCAGAUAUCAGGAGGAACACCGAUGGCGAAGGCAGGUCUCUGGGCUGUUACUGACGCUGAGGAGCGAAAGCAUGGGGAGCGAACAGGAUUAGAUACCCUGGUAGUCCAUGCCGUAAACGUUGGGCACUAGGUGUGGGGAACAUUCCACGUUUUCCGCGCCGUAGCUAACGCAUUAAGUGCCCCGCCUGGGGAGUACGGCCGCAAGGCUAAAACUCAAAGGAAUUGAC
RNAcentral lists this ribosomal RNA (446 nucleotides) under Xanthomonas citri pv. citri. Its description in RNAcentral is "bacterial SSU rRNA". It matches the Rfam family "Bacterial small subunit ribosomal RNA", at positions 471 to 914 of the family's 1533-position model. Lineage: Bacteria; Pseudomonadati; Pseudomonadota; Gammaproteobacteria; Lysobacterales; Lysobacteraceae. The record is from RNAcentral.